CCUCCCCUUCUUCUCUAUCUCUCUCUUCAUCAACAAAAUCUUCCUCACCAUCAGCUUCUCCUUCUAUUUUCUCUUGAUCAUGUUCAUCUAUCUCAUCAUCCCCACCUCCUCUCCUUUCAUCUUCUGUCUCGUCACUCUUGGUUUCUUCUUCUUGCUCUUCAUCUUCAUGCUUGUUUUCUUCUUCUCUCCCUUCCUCAUCAUGCUUGCUUGCUUCAUCUUCUUCUCGCUCUUCCUCUUCAUGCUUCGUUCCUUCUUCCUCUCCCUCUUCUUCUUCAUGCUUAGCUCCUUCUU
Molecule: unclassified non-coding RNA, 291 nt
Filed under: Hevea brasiliensis (rubber tree)
Lineage: Eukaryota; Viridiplantae; Streptophyta; Magnoliopsida; Malpighiales; Euphorbiaceae
Source: RNAcentral